Mus musculus (house mouse) is the source of this 5720-nucleotide long non-coding RNA. RefSeq annotates it as predicted gene, 52230. The transcript has 3 exons. Lineage: Eukaryota; Metazoa; Chordata; Mammalia; Rodentia; Muridae. The record is from RefSeq and is a predicted model, not a curated record.
UUAAAAGCGUGUUGUCUUUCCUUCUUUGGAUCCUAUUGUGUCUAUGUGGCUUCUCAGUAUAUCUUGGAUACAUGUGCACCAGUUAAAAAUUAUUAAGAGCAUGCCAUUUUCAGUGUUACCCAUAAACUUUCCCAGUUUGUUCCUUUAAGUUUUAAGUUGUGAUUCCUUUUAUAUAAUAUGCUAAUUUCAUAAAAGUUCCCUGGAAGGAUUUUCUCAGAACUCUUCUACAUACACAUCCUUUAUUCAAAUUCUCAUUACUUAUGUCUCUUACUACGUAAUAAUUUUUUCUUUGAACUUUUUAGUUUAAUACAUAUCCAUGAAAUCUUCUCAGUACCAUUAACUGUAUUAAACACAGUAAGUAUAGCAAUGAAGCAAAAACUACUCCUAGAAGGGACACAAAUAUAUAAAUAUAAUUUGAGUAUCCCUCCCUAUUUGUGUGUGUGUUCUGAAUACAGAGCCUAUUCUUAUUUGUUCAUGUUCUAAAAACACUGUACAAAAUGUUACCUUUUUAAAACUUCCUUAACAAACACCUCAUUGGCUGAUAAAAGCAAGUUAGGAAGACCUAGUGACAAGUAGAAGGAGUGUUUAAUCUGGGAUGGGUGUGCAAUAAAAAUCAUGGGUCAGUUGUCAGUUUUUCAGUUGGGAGAACACAACAACCUGGCUAAUACAUGGGACUUUAGCAAAUGACUGAACUUAAGAGUAUCCUACACAAACAGAAUCAUCUUCCAGAAACUCAAUAAGGUGAGUUAUUAAUUACUAACUAUUCCAUUUUUGUCAUUGCCUCUUCAAUUAGUUCAUCUGAUGCAUUAUGUCCAUUUAAAUACAAAAGUUUACUAUCACAAGAUUGGAAAAGACAGUUCCUCUUUAGAAAGCUCAAUAAAGAUGUCUGUCCCCCAAACACACACAUUGAGGAAGGGGAGUUAGAUUUCUACUCAGGCAGAGUAAGAACCUGUUUUUUGAGAACACAGUGUUUACAAAGUCUUGUCUUGACAUAGGCAAGGUUCACACAUAGCUCCAAAGGGGGAAAACUAGCAUAAACGUCUCAGUUUCUUCAUGUACAAAGUUGUAUCAGUAGCAUCUUAGUCCUAGGACCUUGUUCUACGGAUACAAGGUAGAAUGGUACAGUCUGCUCAUUCAGGGUCUCCCAUAGCCGGUUCCAUAACAACUGACUGAGUAAUGUGUGAUGGAGUCACACUUUCUGGAGAUUCCUUCAGCUUAAUUUGCUCUAAUCAGAAAGGCAUCACUAGAAGGCAACCAAACCUUCUGCCUCAUAAAAGUUUACUUGCAUCUACUAUCAUUUACCAUGGUCAACAAAAUGCACAUUCAUGUUUCUUAGAGCAUCCUUGAUCUUGUUUCCUGAGUGUGAAUUUUCCAGCAUCAUCUCUCUAGAGCAAGGGAGGGUGAACCCCAGGUUGUGAGGUGUUGCUGGGGUCAAGGCAUGGUACUGUUUUGGCCCCUGCUUUUGCUUUGUCCCUUUGACCUUUACUUCACUCCUUGGCUCCUUCCAAUUGUUCUGAGCUUCUCUUCCUCUGCUCUAUUGUAGUGUGUACGUGCUGAAGGAUUUUACAUUUCGGGAUGACAACUUACCAGCUGAUAAAUUUUAUGCUGAGGUUUUCUCUAACCUAGAUUGAAAACCUGUAAAUCAGAGACUGUGCUGCCUCACACUACCUAUCCUUCCCACAUAAAUCAUUCACACAUAAAUCAUCAAAAUGACCUGCCAGCUCACCCCGAGUCACACUGCCAGGCCCUCCUCCUUCCAAAUGGUGUUCAUUUCAUCUCAAUUGGUGUCUAGUCCCAUGCUAAUACUUAAAUGAGCAAGAAUUAAUUUAAAAAUUUGAACCCUUGUGACAGAACCCAUUUAAUACUAAAGAGAAAGACACAAUAGUUCCUGUAUCUAGAUUUAUAAGAAUUUUAUUCUAAAGAUUUCUCUGAGUAUGUUCAGAAGGGUUUAAUGAAAUUGUUGUUUAGUUUGCUUAUUUGUUGGUUUGUUUUUUUCUUUUUGCUAUUCAGAUCUGAAUCACUAGCAGAAAGGCUUAGGAUUUGGUCUUGUGUCUCCUUCUUUAUAAUAAAAUCUAUUUUCUUAUUCUGUGAUAUCCUGGAUUUAUUUUUAUAUUUCUCUUUAUUACUUGUGAGAUUCUUAAUUUAAGUACUAUCCUAGUAGUUUAAAAAUGUCUUAUUUAGCAGAUUAUGCUGUGAUCCAAUGACAAAUUCUCAUGAUACUUUCUUUAAAUUUUUUUAAAAGCUGUUUAAAAAUGAGCGAGCAUGGUUUUUUAAAAAGCUGUUGCUUUUGCAGUAGUUUCCUUUUCUCGGGGUUUUAUUUUGCCAGUUCUAACUUACAGUUAUUCAAGCAUGCUAAUAUUUGCCUGUCAGGUAUUUUGACAGGUAAAUAUUUGUAUAUAAUAUUGUCAUACACAAACCACAACACAUGGAUAGAGUAUGUACGAGAGGUGAAUUUUUUUUAUAUACCACCAAAAUAUCUGCCUGACAACAAUUUCAUAGUUCAACAACUUUUUUGUGAAUUUGCAUUGACCUGAAUAUUUUAGCCAAUUAGUGUGUUUGCUGAAAUGGUUUCUUAUUCACUUAACAUAAUUAUAGAGCUGUGCUCAAUGCUGUGAGCUAAAGGUGCUUCAGUAUUCAGUGAUUAGCCCUUUGUUUGACACUUUAUAAUUUUAACAAACAGGAGGGAAGAACCAGCUUUUGGUCCAAAUAGCUUCUUUUGUAAACUACCAGGCUAAUGACCUUGAAUAGGAAUAUCUCAGAGUAAAUUUCCAAAUAAAUUUUCUAGGCACAUUUUAAAGAUCUGACUUACUGUGCAGGUAAAAAAAAUAUGUAAAAUUUUUCAACAAAGAAAAAUAUAAAUAUUAUUUUUUAACUUUAUAAAGUAUUGUAAGUUAAGAAUGGAGCCAUAAGGUAGUAGUUUAAUGUAGGGCUUGUCAUGUACUUGUUAUGUAGUGGGUACAAACUUGCUGUAUAGUUAUUAGCACAUAAGAAUUCUUGCAAUUGGAGCAAAAAUCUAUAGAAAAAUGGUAAUACUCAUAAGCCCUUUUGCUCGUGUAAUGUUAUCUAUGUGGUAGACAGGUUAUUAAAUGCUCUGCUUGUAUUCUGUAAUCUAACCUCACAAUGACUCUAAGAGGAGGUAGCGGUAUUAGCCCCAUUUUCUCUGAUGGAAAAUGCUGGUCUAUAAUAGUUGAGUCCUACAAUUAAAAAGUGACAGAGGUGAAGUUUUAAAACAUAAACUCUUAACCUGGAAAACUGACCUCUGGAAGCAGUGGCCUUUCCUCUCAUGGCCAAGUCUGGGUCUAACAGGUGGAGAAAAUGCAGGGAAGAGCUCAAAAAAAAAAAAAAUGAACCGGAUCAACCUCACAAAGCUUUCAUUCUGAAACUGGUGUUUUCUGAGCUCUCAAUGAGCUUAUUUUCUUGAAGCCUAAUCUGGUUUCUGAACAAGGGAGUAUCCCCAUCUAGAAGGAGAAGGAGGAGGAAAGAAGAUCCUACUAGAAACCACCAUCGUGUGUGUAUAAACAGCUAAGGCCACAGCUAAAAUUGAGAAGUAAUGUGACAAUUUAUAGAUGCUGUAUUCCAGCGAAAGGAUUCAGGAUGAAAAAGUACAGCAGAAGCAAUAGUCGUUCCUAAUUUAGAAAAUCUUUGAUGGCCGUAAGAAAUUGUAUAGUUCUACUUUGUAAAUCUCUUCACGAGGACAAUUUAAAUUGAAUUUUAAUAUUGACAAUAACUUUAGACUAAACAAGGUAUGAAGCAUACGCAUGCUCUCAGGCCAGUUGCUUCUUUUUAGGACAAACAUGCUAAAGUUUUUGAGCUGAAUUAUUAGCAAGACAAAGGAUUUAACCCAAAUCCCUUCUAAAGCAUGAGAAGAGAUCAAACAAAAUGGAAUCCCACCUGACUCAGAGAUCAAAUGGGAAGGGCUAUGCUUACUUCUACCUUGGGAGCUUUGCUUAGCCCUGGCCUUGGAACAGUGGUCAAGAGAAUGUUGUUAUUAGGAGCCAAACCUAGUCUUGCUUGCCUGAAGAUGCUCUCUGAAUGUUCUUGAUAUCCCCCCAAUGCCUCUUGAUAACUCACUCCAAAUAGGUUGGCAAUCCAACUACUAGAUCUGGCUAAGCUAGAAAGAGUGUUGAAAAUGAACUGAAGUUUAGGAAAGAGUGAACUAUUUUUAGCCAAAACUGUGUAGUAUGAUAUGGUCUUUUAAAAACAGGAGACAUAGAAUUGGGUUGCUGAACUUAAGUAUCUUUCUUUUGGUUUUAAUGAUGCAUUGCAUUUCUUCUGUAGCUUAAAAUCCAUGACAUAAUUUUCUAAAUCCCAUUCCAACAGAACACAUGCACUGUCCUCAGGAGUAUUCAAUGCCUCAUAAAUUAUAUGCUGCUAUGCAUAUUCUAAAAGUUUAACACUGUUCUAAGAGGUGACUUUUUUUUUCUUGAGGAACAAGGGAAAUCUAGAGCAAUAAUUGAGCACAUCGUUAUUUGUCACUGAUAAUAGCUGUACAAAUCAAAUAUUACUCUGCUGAAAUUUUACUCUAGUUUGGCCUACAUAGACUUCAGAAAUAUGUCAAAAUAUUUAAUCUCAGAGAAGCAAUAUGUCUGUAUGUAUUUCUGCAUAUAUAAAAAGUAUAGGGAGCCACAAGUCACCAGUAUAUUUAACAUCUGCUCAGCCAUAAUUUCAAGGGUAUUUAAGCAUAAUGCCAUCAAUAUUAAUGCAUAUAGAAUAUUAAAGUUUCAGCCACAACAUUUGCUUGAGCGUUAAGUUAAUCAACAAAUAUCCAUUUAUUCAAAAGCACCCUGCUAGUAGCUGUGACUGAACGUAAUGAUAAUGGCAGCAAUGCAAGCGCAGGAGACUGUGGCCAGGGAGUUAAUUACAGAAGGAUGGGUGUUAAGUGCAGAUAAUGAAAGCAAGGAAUGAUAGAGAGGGAGGGAACCAUGAUUAGGAGAGAAAAAAUGUAAAACAGAGACCCACCUGAGAAUAGACAUGUAGGGACCAGAUAGGGUUGUAGCAGGCAUCAGAAGAGAGGUGAGUCGAGAGACUAAGGAGAACUUCCUUAUGUCACAGACUCAGAGAUGGACUCAACAGGAGCGAAGUAACUAGCUUUGACACAGAAAGUGUUUUGUUUAAACUAGAAUGUCUUUUAUAUUUCCAUUUGAUUCUCAUCUGACCUGCCAUUGCCACUGCCUUUCAGAUGUAUUCUAGCAAUAUUCAAAAAUUGCUGAAUAUCCCAGUACUCAAGAGGCAGAUGUACGUCUUGAAUUUAAGGAAAAAUCAUGAUGAAAAAUGAACCUUGGCCUGGCCUACUGGCACAUUCCACAUGAGCAAAGCACUCAGCAUCAGCUUCUUUACUUAGAAAAGCUUUGCCUCCAUGUGGUGUUUGGGACUGAGAGGAUCAUACGGCCAAGGCGCUCAUCACUCAAAUUGGUUGGAACAUCUCAUUCUUAGGCUCCUAUCCUGUAACCAAUGUCCAGCUCUUGUCUCAAGUUGUUUCAGUCAGAAACUUGACCACACAAGCAUAGCAUUUAAAAGUCUUUGUGAAAUUCAGGCUCCCUUUUGAUGUGUUAUUAAGAGAAUCAAAUCACUCCUCUUUCAUAGACCAUUGGCUAAAUCUGUAAGAAUCCAUGGAAAUUUAUAUGGGUUUUGAAAUACUGUAAAUAUUAUUGUCCAGAAUAGUUAUUUACAUAGCAGUUUCAAAUUUUAAAAUUAACGUGACUCAAUCAGAUGGCACAUUC